GGAGCUUAGAUAGAAUGCUAACCCCUGGAACCUUUGGUUUAUUCCUUUUGUUUGUCCUGGGUCUCUCACGAAGGAAGCCUGAUCUGGCCUCAGACUCUUAAGUAGCUGAGGAUGACUCUGGACUUCUGAUUCUCCUGCCUCCAGCUUUCACUGCUGGAUUACAGGAGUCGGUGGAGGAGGUAUGUCACAGAAGGGGGCAAGAAGACACUUCCUAAUCCUUCCUGAAGUUCCACCAACUGGGACCAAGUAUUAUAAGACAUGAAUCUAUGGAGGCCGUUCUUCUGUUCUUUCCACCCCCAAAAAUAUGGGACUUAGAAUUUGCCACGAAUUAUGCUUGCCCCGGUGAAGACCACUGACCAUUGGUGGAGACUCACGGCUGCUUUUUACACGAUUACUGUCUGACAAACACACACCCAACCACACUUUGUAAGUACUAUACUUUAUGUUUUAUUUUAAAACAAGCAAACCUAUCUUCAAC
Rattus norvegicus (Norway rat) is the source of this 478-nucleotide long non-coding RNA. RefSeq lists it as uncharacterized. Lineage: Eukaryota; Metazoa; Chordata; Mammalia; Rodentia; Muridae. The record is from RefSeq and is a predicted model, not a curated record.